This 1286-nucleotide ribosomal RNA is filed under the name Bacillus sp. mrinalini4. Its description in RNAcentral is "bacterial SSU rRNA". It matches the Rfam family "Bacterial small subunit ribosomal RNA", at positions 104 to 1375 of the family's 1533-position model. Lineage: Bacteria; Bacillati; Bacillota; Bacilli; Caryophanales; Bacillaceae. The record is from RNAcentral.
GGGUGAGUAACACGUGGGUAACCUGCCUGUAAGACUGGGAUAACUCCGGGAAACCGGGGCUAAUACCGGAUGCUUGAUUGAACCGCAUGGUUCAAUUAUAAAAGGUGGCUUUUAGCUACCACUUACAGAUGGACCCGCGGCGCAUUAGCUAGUUGGUGAGGUAACGGCUCACCAAGGCAACGAUGCGUAGCCAACCUGAGAGGGUGAUCGGCCACACUGGGACUGAGACACGGCCCAAACUCCUACGGGAGGCAGCAGUAGGGAAUCUUCCGCAAUGGACGAAAGUCUGACGGAGCAACGCCGCGUGAGUGAUGAAGGUUUUCGGAUCGUAAAACUCUGUUGUUAGGGAAGAACAAGUACCGUUCGAAUAGGGCGGUACCUUGACGGUACCUAACCAGAAAGCCACGGCUAACUACGUGCCAGCAGCCGCGGUAAUACGUAGGUGGCAAGCGUUGUCCGGAAUUAUUGGGCGUAAAGCGCGCGCAGGCGGUUUCUUAAGUCUGAUGUGAAAGCCCCCGGCUCAACCGGGGAGGGUCAUUGGAAACUGGGGAACUUGAGUGCAGAAGAGGAGAGUGGAAUUCCACGUGUAGCGGUGAAAUGCGUAGAGAUGUGGAGGAACACCAGUGGCGAAGGCGACUCUCUGGUCUGUAACUGACGCUGAGGCGCGAAAGCGUGGGGAGCGAACAGGAUUAGAUACCCUGGUAGUCCACGCCGUAAACGAUGAGUGCUAAGUGUUAGAGGGUUUCCGCCCUUUAGUGCUGCAGCAAACGCAUUAAGCACUCCGCCUGGGGAGUACGGUCGCAAGACUGAAACUCAAAGGAAUUGACGGGGGCCCGCACAAGCGGUGGAGCAUGUGGUUUAAUUCGAAGCAACGCGAAGAACCUUACCAGGUCUUGACAUCCUCUGACAACCCUAGAGAUAGGGCUUCCCCUUCGGGGGCAGAGUGACAGGUGGUGCAUGGUUGUCGUCAGCUCGUGUCGUGAGAUGUUGGGUUAAGUCCCGCAACGAGCGCAACCCUUGAUCUUAGUUGCCAGCAUUCAGUUGGGCACUCUAAGGUGACUGCCGGUGACAAACCGGAGGAAGGUGGGGAUGACGUCAAAUCAUCAUGCCCCUUAUGACCUGGGCUACACACGUGCUACAAUGGGCAGAACAAAGGGCAGCGAAGCCGCGAGGCUAAGCCAAUCCCACAAAUCUGUUCUCAGUUCGGAUCGCAGUCUGCAACUCGACUGCGUGAAGCUGGAAUCGCUAGUAAUCGCGGAUCAGCAUGCCGCGGUGAAUACGUUCCC